This 253-nucleotide ribosomal RNA is filed under the name uncultured bacterium. Its description in RNAcentral is "partial 16S ribosomal RNA". It matches the Rfam family "Bacterial small subunit ribosomal RNA", at positions 524 to 776 of the family's 1533-position model. The record is from RNAcentral.
UACGUAGGGUGCAAGCGUUGUCCGGAAUUUUUGGGCGUAAAGAGCUCGUAGGCGGUUUGUUGCGUCGGCUGUGAAAUCCCGAGGCUCAACCUCGGGUCUGCAGUCGAUACGAGCAAACUAGAGUGUUGCAGGGGAGACUGGAAUUCCUGGUGUAGCGGUGAAAUGCGCAGAUAUCAGGAGGAACACCGGUGGCGAAGGCGGGUCUCUGGGCCGAUACUGACGCUGAGGAGCGAAAGCGUGGGGAGCGAACAGG